This 693-nucleotide ribosomal RNA is filed under the name uncultured bacterium. Its description in RNAcentral is "bacterial SSU rRNA". It matches the Rfam family "Bacterial small subunit ribosomal RNA", at positions 62 to 770 of the family's 1533-position model. The record is from RNAcentral.
UCGAGCGAAAGGAUUCCCUUCGGGGAUGAAUUUAGCGGCGGACGGGUGAGUAACACGUGGGCAACCUGCCUUAUAGAGGGGGAUAGCCUUCCGAAAGGAAGAUUAAUACCGCAUAACAUCAUUUUACCGCAUGGUAGUUUGAUCAAAGGAGCAAUCCGCUAUAAGAUGGGCCCGCGGCGCAUUAGCUAGUUGGUGAGGUAACGGCUCACCAAGGCGACGAUGCGUAGCCGACCUGAGAGGGUGAUCGGCCACAUUGGGACUGAGACACGGCCCAGACUCCUACGGGAGGCAGCAGUGGGGAAUAUUGCACAAUGGGGGAAACCCUGAUGCAGCAACGCCGCGUGAGUGAUGAAGGCCUUCGGGUUGUAAAGCUCUGUCUUUGGGGACGAUAAUGACGGUACCCAAGGAGGAAGCCACGGCUAACUACGUGCCAGCAGCCGCGGUAAUACGUAGGUGGCAAGCGUUGUCCGGAUUUACUGGGCGUAAAGGGAGCGUAGGUGGAUAUUUAAGUGGGAUGUGAAAUCUCCGGGCUUAACCUGGGGGCUGCAUUCCAAACUGGAUGUCUAGAGUGCAGGAGAGGAGAGUGGAAUUCCUAGUGUAGCGGUGAAAUGCGUAGAGAUUAGGAAGAACACCAGUGGCGAAGGCGACUCUCUGGACUGUAACUGACACUGAGGCUCGAAAGCGUGGGGAGCA